RNAcentral lists this long non-coding RNA (1743 nucleotides) under Pocillopora damicornis (cauliflower coral). RNAcentral describes it as "uncharacterized LOC113666575, transcript variant X3". The record is from RNAcentral. Lineage: Eukaryota; Metazoa; Cnidaria; Anthozoa; Scleractinia; Pocilloporidae.
AUUUUGUGUUGUUAAAGCUGCUAAACACAAGAAGCUUUAAUAUGAAUGAUUCCCGCAGCAGAACUUUUUCCCAAGUGACUUUGGGGUGUUUUGAGUAAAAAGUUCGAAUUUUGAGCCAAACCUGGUGAACAUUUUCGACUUCAAUUCGAUGCAAAUUAUCUGUUCUCUAUCAAGUUAAGAGCCUACUACACUAUCGUCAAACAUACGCGCAAAUUUUGUGGAAAUUGUAUGCGUUUUCCCAUCGUAAUCUUUCGUAGUAAAACCAAUUUAUUAAUUCAAAAGAGUGCGCAAAGCUAGUGUCCUACAUUCAUUAAGCUUUAUGAUUCUACAUUUCUUAAAUCAUGUAAACAUUCUUGUUCUACAUGAGAGCGCGUUUUUUUUUUCUUUGAAAAAUCAGGUCGAUGAUUCCGAGUUCGUUUAUCGUUUAUAUAAUAUGGCCGAUUCAGGUGCGUGAUUCAUACAAAAAUAGUCUUGAGAGAACCAAGCUUGAGGAAUUCGUUGCAAAAACCUAAAAGCAUGACUGAAAACCAUGUACAUGUACUGUAAAAAUGGUUCAUUACAAAAUGCAACAGCCGUAGAUCUUAAUGUUUGUUGUUCGCGUAAAUAUGAGGAAGUGCCUAUUCAGCAAAUCUGAGAGCCAAUCAGAAAAUGACACCACGGUGGACAUAAUCCGCCCACAGACGUCAUAAAAAACUGGUGCACGCUAGAUUGGCGCGAGUUAUCGAGGCGAAAUCGGUCGUGUUAGCAUCGAAAGUACAUAGAGAGUUCUAGGUAUGCCUGAAAAGUCAGAAUCGACAGGAAACUUGAACGAAGACAUAGGAUUUGUCAUGAAGGCAGGAUCCUCAGGAAAUACAACCAGAGACAAAGGAUGGUGUUCGUGCAUAAUCUUGUGACAUUAAGGUAAGCUUGAGUUAGUUUAUAUGCUACUGCCGCACACAAUGACUUAGUCUUACGCCUUCUCCUGAUAUUUAACAACACACAUGAUAUACGCUACAAGAAACAAAAUGAGUAAAGGAUAUGUAUUUCUAAUGAAACUGUGGUGCAGCGUUAGUUAGAGAGUAUAACAGGGUAAUUUAGUGUUAUAAACUGAGUUGAUAACGUAAAUUGGCCACCGUAAAGAGUAAGAGGGCUGACGUUUCGAGCUUUAACCCUUCGUCAAGGCGACAGAAGGAGAACUCUUCGUAAGAGCGAUGAAAGAAACAUGGCGACAACAGCCAGGAGAAAAAAAUGCUCAAAAGCAGAAACUCUAAACAGAAAUGUUCGAACGUUGCGUCCAAAAACGGGAAAAAUAACUAAAUGUCUGUUUUAUUACUGCGUCAUUUCAGCAUUUGUCUUUCGAUCGCUAACAUCUUUUGCGUCUAUGUUUCAGACUAUAUGACGACCAUGGCGACGACUGUGUACUGCUGUAAAAGACCCCGAAGAUCACGCUAUUUGGAAGAGAACUAAUGAAGCCCUUCGUCACGAGGACUGAUGUGUUUCUCCCUGUUAAAAAUUCUGGAGUUAAUUACAGUUAGGACACGUUGCGCAUCGACUACAAUAUAUUUUACUCGUAUAAGGAGUUAGAAAUUGAGUUUUUUAGAAUUUUUUCACAUAUUAUGGAAAUUUUCGGCUAAGUGCUGUUUAUUUGACCCGAGUUUGAUGACAAAGCGAUGUAAAAUUUGAGUUAUAAAUUUACUCGUGUGUGGCGCACGUCAGGAACCGAUGUAAAAGAGAUGGAGUUAAUAAACGAAGAAAGUAACAUGA